This 469-nucleotide ribosomal RNA is filed under the name uncultured bacterium. RNAcentral describes it as "partial 16S ribosomal RNA". It matches the Rfam family "Bacterial small subunit ribosomal RNA", at positions 28 to 507 of the family's 1533-position model. The record is from RNAcentral.
GACGAACGCUGGCGGCGUGCUUAACACAUGCAAGUCGAACGAUGAAGCCUUAGCUUGCUUUGGUGGAUUAGUGGCGAACGGGUGAGUAACACGUGAGCAACGUGCCCAGGACUCUGGAAUAACCGCGGGAAACCGUGGCUAAUACCGGAUAGGUGCCGAGGCCGCAUGGUCUUCGGUUGGAAAGUUUUUGCGGUUCUGGAUCGGCUCACGGCCUAUCAGCUUGUUGGUGGGGUAAUGGCCUACCAAGGCGACGACGGGUAGCCGGCCUGAGAGGGUGACCGGCCACCCUGGGACUGAGACACGGCCCAGACUCCUACGGGAGGCAGCAGUGGGGAAUAUUGCACAAUGGGCGCAAGCCUGAUGCAGCAACGCCGCGUGGGGGAUGACGGCCUUCGGGUUGUAAACCUCUUUUAGUAGGGAAGAAGCGCAAGUGACGGUACCUGCAGAAAAAGCACCGGCUAACUACGUG